AGUUUGAUCCUGGCUCAGGAUGAACGCUAGCGGCAGGCUUAACACAUGCAAGUCGAGGGGCAGCGCGUUGUAGCAAUACGAUGGCGGCGACCGGCGAAAGGGUGCGUAACGCGUGAGCAACCUGCCCGUAUCCGGGACAUAAGCGGUGGAAACGCCGUCUAAUUUCCCAUAACAACGAGGGCCGCAUGGUCCAUGUUUGAAAGAUGCGUCGGAUACGGAUGGGCUCGCGAGACAUUAGCUAGUCGGCGUGGUAACGGCACACCGAGGCGACGAUGUCUAGGGGUUCUGAGAGGAAGGUCCCCCACAUUGGAACUGAGACACGGUCCAAACUCCUACGGGAGGCAGCAGUGAGGAAUAUUGGUCAAUGGGCGAGAGCCUGAACCAGCCAAGUAGCGUGCAGGACGACGGCCCUAUGGGUUGUAAACUGCUUUUAUGCGGGGAUAAAGUACACUACGUGUAGUGUUUUGUAGGUACCGCAUGAAUAAGGACCGGCUAAUUCCGUGCC
This 505-nucleotide ribosomal RNA is filed under the name uncultured organism. RNAcentral's name for it is "SSU rRNA". It matches the Rfam family "Bacterial small subunit ribosomal RNA", at positions 10 to 509 of the family's 1533-position model. The record is from RNAcentral.